UUUAUGGAGAGUUUGAUCCUGGCUCAGGACGAACGCUGGCGGCGUGCCUAAUACAUGCAAGUCGAGCGGACUAAUGGGAGCUUGCU
Molecule: ribosomal RNA, 86 nt
Filed under: Halalkalibacter suaedae
Lineage: Bacteria; Bacillati; Bacillota; Bacilli; Caryophanales; Bacillaceae
Description: Bacillus suaedae Bacterial small subunit ribosomal RNA
Rfam family: Bacterial small subunit ribosomal RNA
Source: Rfam by way of RNAcentral